GCAGUAAGUUGACAAUGGCCUGCUGCCGCCAGCACAUGAGGAUGCAUACCCCUGUCACAGCUUAGAGAGCAAUUACAGCUUUUGGAGACCAGCUGGCCCAUCUGCUCCUGGUGCUGCUGCACUACCAGCAAGGUGGUGUUCAGCUUGGAGGAGCUGCUCAGGCUUUUUCUUGGGCCUGUCUCUCCUGCCCAGCUGAGCUCCUCGUGCUAUGGAUCACUGGGAAGGGAAGCACAGUCCUGAGCAGCAGCUCCUGUCUGCAGCAUACAGAGUCCGUGAUUAAUCCUGGCCAUAGGGAUGAUUCAGAAUGAAACUGCAAAGCAGAGCAAAACCUUUUUGCUGCCUUCUGAAACUCAGAAUAAGAUGCAGAUGGAUGUUAUUAGAAAGGUUUUUACUUCGAAUGUGCACGGCUUGUCCACAUGGCUGAGAUUAGUGCUCAAUACUCAUAUAAAGCUUUUCAUCCUCAAAAGGACUUUACAAGCUCCAGCCCUCAAAACACCCCUACAAGAAUACUUUGAUGUUCCAUCUUAUCUCCCUCUUGUUUCCCUGAGAAAGAUAUCUGGACCCACAAAGUACUCUGGAGAAAAGGGAAAAGCAAGUAAUUUUCUGGUUUUAUGACUACUCUACAGUGUUUCAGUUACUGGAUAGUUUCUUCCUGGAAGAAUAGAUGGAACACAAAUCGAUGGAGUAUGGUAUCACUAAUUUAAGGAGAAGCUGGGGCGGAUGUUGACCUGAGAUCUGGAGCACACCUUCCCAGUGGGGGUGCCAGGAUAGAAGACCUCCCAUCACCACUUUUGCUCCUGAGGGAUGAGGGGCAGACCUGUACCAUGGUCACAAGCACAGAGGAAGUUUGUGUAGAUGUUCCAGAGCUUCAGAAACACACCUGACCUUCAAGAGUUGCUGCUGAUUUGUUCAGUGCUCACACAGUGUGUAGCACAGGCCUCCUGCUAUGCCUCCUGGGUGCUGCUGCAGUACAGCCACCUUUCCUUUUGUUUGGGCACCUUUAUCAGUACAGCUGAAGGGAACGCUCUGUGGACUGUGAAUUCCUGUCCAAGAUCAUGUAAAUACUUGGACAGUACAUGCUGUUUCUCUAGUAUUAAUCUAACUAGCUAAAGCUGGUUUGCAUACAUCUGCAGCUACAGCAGAAGUUUAAUGAUAAAUAUUCCCAAAUGUAGCUAUGCAAAUAGUGGCAAAUUCUGAAUAAAUAUGUGAAAUGCAUUAUAGUAGUCAAAAAUUCUUCAAUUUUUCCAUCAAGAAAAAAACAAAGGAUGAUUUUUCCUUUAGGGCACAGGCCAGAUUCUCUUUUGUAAUGUUUAGAAUUUCAUACAUCUUAUGAGUAUAAAAGGGUCAUAAAACCAGGGGUAAACAUUCAAGGAUUAUUUUACUAUGGUCUGUGUUAGCCUUCUUUCUAUCAGAGAUGCAGAGUGGUUGUUCCAUAUUGUGUCCAUACAUAAGUGAUUACUGGAUGACAAAUAUCCACAAUAACAGAGGAUAUUAUGUAAAAAAUUAACAGACAAAAACACCCACACAAACAAACAAGCAAACUCACAUGCCCUUCAUCAUAGUGCAAAAGGUACUAAAAACUGGAAUUGCAAGUGGUAGUAGUCCCAGCCAUGUAUAAAUCCCAAAAGGUGAGAGUCAUUCUUGGAAGUGGUGCCACCCCUUAAGAGAGAGCAUAGAGGCUAAUCUUAUUUGAAGGGAAAGAUCAUUUCCUCUUGGUCGUGGCCUUACUCAUACCUAAAAUAAUUAAUGCUUGACUUAAAAUCCUACAAAGUUGCCUUCUGCCCAGACCAAAGGGGAUGGCUACUGUUCUCAUGGUCAGCUCUGGAGGGGUUCAGCAGGCCAGCACCUCUGUUCCCCUCUAACUGUCUACCUCCAUGAAUGGUUAUGGAAGUAUCUUUUUAUGGUUGCCAAGAAGGUGCCAGGAAAGAUCUGGGAAGGAGAGGGGCAAUUCUGAGGGCUGGUGUUUAACUGCAUGAAUCUGCUGCAGCUGCCAUUUCCAUCUCCAGGAGCUAGAUGGAAACAACUACCUACCCAAGAAAUGGGAGAAAGGAGCAUCCCUGGGCUUACAACCAUACAGACUGUAUAUAACUUACUAAACUCCCACAAAGUGGCAAUGCUUUAUUUCUUACCAGGACAGAUUGGUGCAUCCCAAGCAAACCAAGCAUUUAACUGUGGGUGACUAACUACAGGUGUAAUGAAUUGAAAGCCAUGUGGCUAAGCCAAGUGCAAGCUUUUUGAAGUGUAUCUUCUUAAAAAUGGGGUUUAGCAAAUGAACAAAAUGCUCCCACAACUGCUGAAUUUGUUUUCUUAGCAUUUUAGCAACUGUUUGACCUGACCAUUUCAAAUUACCACUGAAAGAAAUGGAUAUAUUCAGGAGGGGAGAUACCCUGUAUUUCUAAGGCAAAAUACUUCUAUAAAAUAACAGCUAUCCAAAAAGAUAUUAUGCUGAGCUGUCAUAUUUUGUCUAGCAGCCUUUUCAUACUGUUGAAAUAUCAACAUUAUAUGUACUGCUUGUGUAUAGUUAACUCUUGGUUUCCUGGUGUAAGAUGGGUAGGAAACCUUUGUAAUGUAUUAACAAGACCAGAAAAACACCCCCCUCAAAAAAAAACCCAAUCCAUUGUAAAUUAGGGUAAGACUAGGUAAUACCUGAAGAGUAUUAUCUAGCCUGAAGAGUUGCCAAUUAACAAAAUGAAUGGCAUAUCCUGGUACAUAUGUGUAUUUUAAAUCAUACUGAUUUUUGUUGAAGCUGAAAAACAAGAAGACAGUGAAACUAAGAGAAAAUGUAAGUUGCAAAAAUAUUUGACACUGUAAAUUACGUUUUGUUGAAUAUUUGUAGUGAAAAAUGGGGGUUUCUAGAGAUAAUUGCAUGUUUUCUCAAGUAAUAACAGUCCUUACUCCAAAUCUUGAUGAUUAUUUACUGAUUUAUUAUUAUUAUUUUUUCUAUUCAUAAAUAACUAGACUGAUUUCAGCAAGAGAAAAAGCCCAGCAUAAAGGACAUCCUAGUAUCCACCAUGGAGGAUAUGAAUAAUCAGAAGUAUUUGCAUUAUACAAAUAUGUUGCUUACAGACACAAAAAAAGGUGUUAACACAACACAUCCUUAAAUAUUGUUGAGAUGUUGUUGAGUAUUUUUGUACACAAUUCUCUAUGUACAAUUCUUUCAUUCAUUCUCAUUUAUGACAAUUCACGUAGUGUGUGAUGGGCCUUCGACACAGAUCUAUAACCACUGAGAUUUGUGACACUGAUCAGAAUACAAUGAGAGCCCUGAAAUCCCAUUCUCUGAAGUGAAACAUCCCUAUGAAUCACAGGUAUUGUGUUACCAGACAGCGCAGCAAAAAAUUAACCAGAGCAAAACACUCGACUUGGUGCUGUUACAGCUAAUAGGUCUGAAAUGAAAGAUAAUUGCAUAUUAAAAUAGAGUGGGUAGCUCUGUUUUGAUGUAGAGAUAUAAAGAUGUCAGGCAAGCUAGGCUGCAGCAGCAGGGAAUGGGUGCCCUGAAGUGAUUGAGGAGUGAAGCCCAAGAGAGCAUUCCUCACAUUCCUGUGGCACUCCUCCUAUACAUAUGCCCCCAAAAAAAGGGAAUUCCAGCACUCCGGAUUGGUAAAGUGAGCUUCAGAAAAGCUGGCACUUUUCUAUAGCUGCAGGCUUGGUUAAUUUGAAGGAAUUAUUAUCAUCUCUGGAUGAUGAACACGAGGCAUAUUUAAACUGUUAUUUUUUAGGGUAAAGGACAUGACAAUUCCAAUCUGUUACAAAAAAAAAAAAAAAAAAAAAAAAAAAAAUUAAAAA
Passer domesticus (house sparrow) is the source of this 3783-nucleotide long non-coding RNA. RefSeq lists it as uncharacterized. The record is from RefSeq and is a predicted model, not a curated record. The transcript has 6 exons. Lineage: Eukaryota; Metazoa; Chordata; Aves; Passeriformes; Passeridae.